This 524-nucleotide long non-coding RNA is filed under the name Medicago truncatula (barrel medic). RNAcentral's name for it is "lncRNA gene48871". Lineage: Eukaryota; Viridiplantae; Streptophyta; Magnoliopsida; Fabales; Fabaceae. The record is from RNAcentral.
UCUCCAACAAUCCAAUCCUAGUUGGCUCUCUAGGUUUUCUCUUUCAUUCAGGGGAUGAUUUUGGGUCAAUAUUACCCGAAAUCACCCAUCAUCAUCAUCUUCUUUUUCUCCUUACUUUAAUCUAAGCAAUUGAUUUUCAAAUAGAUUUAGGUUUUUUCUUCUUUGUCAUUUCGUUUAUUGUGUAGCGUUGUUUGAUUUAUCAUCUUGUUGCGGUGUUCGUUUGUUUUUUUAUUAAAAGACCGACCAUCUUAUUACGAUGUUUGUUUGGUUUCCUAUUAAAAGAGAGACUUUAGACAAUUACAUAUUCAAUCAAUUAUUUGGGCAUCAACAUUGCAGAUUUGGAGGCAUGAUAUUCUGAUUACUUUGAUUUUAUCAUAUUAUUUGCGAUCUGUUAUCGUUGUAUGUUUGAGUUAUGUGAGUUUAUUUGCACAUUCAUCAUUUUUCGUUUUUAGCUAUAUUAGACAUGUUGUAUUUAAUGAACUCUAUCAACUUGAAUGAAUGAAUAUUGUUUUGUUUUUGUAAUA